AGAGAAUUUAUGUGACUCUAGCCAAUUAGUAGAAGUCCAAGAACUAAAGUCAAGCCAGCCAGCCAAACAACCGCAAGAAACCAAUUAAAACAACAGCAAUAAUAAACAACAACAACAACCACAACAAUUUGCAUGUCUUCGUUCAUUUGCGCUGAAUAUGAUAUAAAAAACUACAUGAGCAACGCGAUAAAUGUCAAACUGAGGUGGGCCGAUUAUCAUGGCAAGCAAUGUACAACAACAGCGAC
This 245-nucleotide small RNA is filed under the name Drosophila mojavensis. RNAcentral describes it as "GI26419". Lineage: Eukaryota; Metazoa; Arthropoda; Insecta; Diptera; Drosophilidae. The record is from RNAcentral.